AUUAUGAAGAUAGAAAUUUGAGAAGUUCAUUCCUAAAGGUUCCUAAUUGUUCAAUGGAUCUAGUAUUAUAGUUCAAAUCGUUGUACUCUUUACAAGCCUGGUAAAGCAGAUUUUGCUUUCCCCAGUUUGUGUUCGGCUUACAGAGGUAUAUAUCAUCUCUGCCUCUUGUGUUAUAUAAAUUAUUAGUUCCAGGCAGUUCGAGAUUAAAC
Molecule: non-coding RNA, 209 nt
Organism: Paramuricea clavata
Lineage: Eukaryota; Metazoa; Cnidaria; Anthozoa; Malacalcyonacea; Plexauridae
Source: the annotation of a GenBank genome assembly